AUUUAUGGCCAUGCUACACUGAACAUGUCCGAAUCGGUCUAAUCUUGGAAGCUUAGCAGUGACAGGCCUGGUUAGUACUUGGAUGGGAGACCACCUAGGAAGACCAGGUGCUGUAGGUG
This 119-nucleotide ribosomal RNA is filed under the name Pteropus vampyrus (large flying fox). The record is from RNAcentral. Lineage: Eukaryota; Metazoa; Chordata; Mammalia; Chiroptera; Pteropodidae.